CUUAAUUUUCUUUUCUAGUGGGGAACAGGGACCUACUGCAAUCCGAGGGUCUUCAGUACUGUUAGCCCAGGCCAGU
This 76-nucleotide long non-coding RNA is filed under the name Jaculus jaculus (lesser Egyptian jerboa). Its description in RNAcentral is "ZNRD1 antisense RNA 1 conserved region 2 (ENSJJAG00000003258.1)". It matches the Rfam family "ZNRD1 antisense RNA 1 conserved region 2". The record is from RNAcentral. Lineage: Eukaryota; Metazoa; Chordata; Mammalia; Rodentia; Dipodidae.